RNAcentral lists this ribosomal RNA (429 nucleotides) under uncultured bacterium. RNAcentral describes it as "bacterial SSU rRNA". It matches the Rfam family "Bacterial small subunit ribosomal RNA", at positions 355 to 775 of the family's 1533-position model. The record is from RNAcentral.
UCGAGAAUUUUUCACAAUGGACGAAAGUCUGAUGGAGCGACGCCGCGUGGAGGAUGAAGGUUUUCGGAUUGUAAACUCCUGUCACUGCAGAACAAGGGUAGGUUUGUUAAUAGCAAAUCUAUUUGAUGGUAUGCGGAGAGGAAGGGACGGCUAACUCUGUGCCAGCAGCCGCGGUAAGACAGAGGUCCCGAGCGUUGUUCGGAUUCAUUGGGCGUAAAGGGUGUGUAGGAGGUCGGGUAAGUCAGGUGUGAAAUCUCAGAGCUUAACUCUGAAACUGCGCUUGAUACUGCUCGGCUAGAGGAUCGGAGGGGGUAACGGAAUUUAUGGUGUAGCAGUGAAAUGCGUAGAUAUCAUAAGGAACACCGGUGGCGAAGGCGGUUACCUGGAAGAUUCCUGACUCUGAAACACGAAAGCCAGGGGAGCAAACGG